CUCUGAUUUAAGCUGUGUGAAGUGUUUUCAACUGUCCCGAUUCAGAGAACAGAGUCAUGUAAUGGCUCAGAGGAUUCCUCCACCCACUUACACACACACACACACACACACACACACACACACACACACAAAAUAAAAAUUAAAAAUAAAAUUAAAAAUUAAAGAUUAAAAAUAAAAAAACCAAAAACCAACCAGACGGUGAAAUAGAGGUCCAUAGUGAUUAAAAUUUGCUGAAGAUUACAGAAAUAGUAGAGCUUGGCCUACUGCCCCUUCUCCAACACCCCCAGCCCUGCCCAUACCAUCUCCUGCUAAACAACCUGGACAUGGACUUCUUAAUUUUACUAAUCAAUUAUCUCUUUUUCUCUUUUCUGAUCUUUUGUGUAUAGGAGUAGGUUAAUGAGGAGGCUUUUUGGCACAAGUGACAUGAUCCCUUGACUCACGUAUCUUCAACUACAAAGGAAAUAGAUUAUCCUACAAUACAAGAUGCAAGGUAGAGUGUUUUCAAAGUUGGUUAAGUCAGUGGCUUAAACUCAGGUUAUUUCUGUUUUUUUCAUUUUACCAUCCUCAUUACUCUUUCUUUUUCUUUCUUUUUUUUGUUUUUUGAGACAGUCUUGCUCCAUCACCCAGGGUGGAGUGCAGUGGUGCAAUCUCAGCUCACUGCAACAUCUGCCUCCUGGGUUCAAGCGAUUCUUGUGCCUCAGCCUCCCAAGUAGCUGGGACUACAGGCGCGCACCACCACACCCAGCCAAUUUUUGUAUUUUUAGUAGAGAUGGGGUUUCCCCAUGUUGCCCCGGCUGGUCUCGAACUUCUGACCUCAAGUGAUCUGCCCACCUCAGCCUCCCAAAGUACCAGUAUUAUAGGCGUGAGCUACUGUGCCCAGCCUAUCCUCAUUACUCUUGAUUGUCCCUGUGCUAACUUCCUAAUGAUAAGAUGGCUGCCAUAGUUUCCAGGCAUGUUAAGCAGACAUAAUAGCCCCACCAGGAGAAGGAGCCUAUCUCUUCCUUGUGUCACUUUUUUUAUGGGUGAAUAAACCUUGUCCAGAAGCUUCUCUUAUCCUCCACUGCAGACUUGCAGACUCUCCCCUAUGUUUCACUGACCAGAAUUAAAUCAUGGUUCUGUACGUGAACUAGUCUCUGCACAGGGAAAUGGGACUUCAUGAUUGGCUCAGAAAAGUCAGGAUUCCCACCCCACAACUGCCCACUCAGUCAGGGGUUAGAGAAGGUCUAGCCUUCUGAAACACCAAGUCAUUUAGUAGAAGAAUACUGGGACUCCAUCUCAUGGCUGCCCUUGACACAGGCAUUCAUAAAUGGUUGAGGCCCAUUGUUUCAGCAGCAACUCAAAAACAAUUAUUCACAGGGCCAAGGUAAUACAAGCCAACUUUUCAGUUUGUAAUUAAGGAUAGAAAUGAGUUAUCCAGAGAAGCAGAUGAAUCACAUACUUUUCACAUAUUAAGAAAUUAGGUCUGGAGUCAGACAGAACUAGAUUUAAAUCUCUAUCCCACCAGUUUUGUGGUGCAGCCUUCAGCAAGUGACUUAAUGUCUCCAAGUCUCAGUGUUCCUAUCUUUAAAAUGGGAACAAUAACAAUUCCUACCUCACAGAGUGAUUAUGAGAAUAAAGUGAGAUCAUGGAGAUGAUGUGUUAACAAAGUAUUUGGCCAAUAGUAUGUAAUAAAUAAAUAUGUAUUGUCACUAAUACUAAUGAUAAAAAGUUUCCCCACAAAUUUUUCUUUUUACAGUGUGAAUCUUAAAUUUGAGAUUCUUUUCUCAAAUAAGGACUUAGUACUAAUAUUAGUAUUCUGUGUUACUGAUUGGGACAGAACAGUAUCUGAAUAGCACUGUAGGAAGAGUCACUCAUUCAUCCAACAUAUAUUUAUACAGCACUAACUAUGUGUUUGGCACUGAAUAUAUAGUGAUGAACAAGACAAGACAAACAUGAUUUCUGCUGUCAUGGAGCAUGAGUGCUGGAGACAUUUUCACAUCUCUACCCUAUCAGUUCAUAGUAACACCCCAGCUGGAUAAUUUUGGACUAUGGAAAUGAUGUUAGACAAAAAGCAAAUUUGAGUGAUUUUCUUAUUCGAGUUCAAAAUGGGUUGUAAAGCAGCGGAGACAACUCGCGACUUCAGCAACACAUUUGGCCCAGGAACUGCUAACAAAUGUACAGGGUAGUGGUGGUUCAAGAGCUUUUGCAAAGGAGCUAAGAGCCUUGAAGAUGAGGAACAUAGUGGCUGGCCAUCGCAAGUUGACAAUGACCAGUUGAGAGCGGUCAUCAAGGCUGAUUCUCUUACAACUACAUGAGAAGUUAUCUAAGAACUCACCGUUGACUGUUCUACAGUCAUUUGGCAUUUGAAGCAAAUUGGAAGAGUGAAAAAGCUUGAAAAGUGGGUGCCUCAUGAGCUGAGUGAAAAUUUAAAAAAUAGUCAUUUUGAAGUGUUGUCUUCUCUUAUUGUAUGCAACGAAAAUGAACCAUUUCUUGAUUGGAUUAUGAUGUAUCUCAAAAACUGGGUUUUAUAAAACAACUGGUGAUGACCAGCUCAGUGGUUAGACCAAGAAGCUCCAAAGCACUUCCCAAAGCCAAACUUGCACCAGAAAAAGUCAUGGUCGCUGUAUGGUGGUCUACUGCCGGUCCCAUCCACUACAGCUUUCUGAAUCCUGGAAAAACCAUUAUAUCUGAGAAGUAUGCUCAGCAAAUCAAUGAGAUGCAUGGAACAUCACAAUGACUGCAGCCAGCAUUGGUUAACAGAAAGGGCCCAGUUCUUCUCCACGACAACGCCUACCACACAUCGCACAACCAACGCUUCAAAAGUUGAAUGAAUUGGGCUAUGAUGUCUUGCCUCCUCAGCCAUAUUCACCUGACCUUUCACCAACUGGCUAUUUUCACUUCUUUAAGCACUCGACAACUUUUUGCAGGGAAAACGCUCCCACAACCAGCAGGAUGCAGAAAAUGCUUUUCAAGAGUUUGUUGAAUACCGAAGUAUGGAUUUUUUAUGCUACGGGAAUAAACAAACAUUUCUCAUUGGCAAAAUAUGUU
RNAcentral lists this long non-coding RNA (3027 nucleotides) under Homo sapiens (human). RNAcentral describes it as "HSALNT0166341". The record is from RNAcentral. Lineage: Eukaryota; Metazoa; Chordata; Mammalia; Primates; Hominidae.